AGAGUUUGAUCCUGGCUCAGCGCGAACGCUGUCGGCGUGCCUAACACAUGCAAGUCGAGGGGCAGCAGGCGGGUACCUUAUGGUACCCGUGCUGGCGACCGGCGAACGGGUGAGUAACGCGUGAGCAACCUACCCCGAGGAGGGGGAUAACCCGGGGAAACCCGGGCUAAUACCCCAUAAGCGCACGGUCUGCAUGGGCUGUGUGAAAAGGUGGCCUCUGGGCAAAGCCCAAGCUGCCGCCUCGGGAUGGGCUCGCGUCCCAUCAGGUAGUUGGUGAGGUAACGGCUCACCAAGCCUACGACGGGUAGCUGGUCUGAGAGGAUGGCCAGCCACACCGGGACUGAGACACGGCCCGGACUCCUACGGGAGGCAGCAGUGGGGAAUCUUGGGCAAUGGCCGAAAGGCUGACCCAGCGACGCCGAGUGGAGGAAGAAGCCCUUCGGGGUGUAAACUCCUGUCGCCGGGGACGAGGCGGGAGCGGGUUAAGAGCCUGCUCCCGUGACGGUACCCGGAGAGGAAGGGACGGCUAACUACGUGCCAGCAGCCGCGGUAAUACGUAGGUCCCGAGCGUUGCGCGAAAUUACUGGGCGUAAAGAGCGCGUAGGCGGGCCAG
This 613-nucleotide ribosomal RNA is filed under the name uncultured bacterium. RNAcentral's name for it is "bacterial SSU rRNA". It matches the Rfam family "Bacterial small subunit ribosomal RNA", at positions 8 to 583 of the family's 1533-position model. The record is from RNAcentral.